Lathyrus oleraceus (garden pea) is the source of this 816-nucleotide long non-coding RNA. RefSeq lists it as uncharacterized. The record is from RefSeq and is a predicted model, not a curated record. Lineage: Eukaryota; Viridiplantae; Streptophyta; Magnoliopsida; Fabales; Fabaceae. The transcript is spliced from 2 exons.
GUUAGCUUUUAUAAUAAUCUCUCUCUCCAAAAUUAGUUAGAAACUCAACUUAAAUUCCAAUGAAAUUCAAUCUAAAUUCACUCCAAAUCCACAAAACAGUUAGGAUUCUGUUACGAAAUUCCUUCUAAAUUCCAAAUGAAACUCACUUGCACAAUUUGGUUGAUUAGUGUGAGUUGGGUUGAAAUGAACAGGUUAUUUAAAAUCCAAAUUGAAACUCAAAUGGAAUGUUAAAUGAAAUUGAAACUCAAAUGAAAAUGGAAUGUUAUUUUUUUUUUGAGUUAGUAUUUCUUGGAAAUUCUGCAGGAUUCUGUCAAACUCGGUUUCCCGUCAUCUGGUGUGGUAAGUCUGCAGUGGCUAUGAGUUUUUGGGUGACUUUUGUAAUCUGCAUAUUCGACAUUGAUUAUGUCGCAUCCCGCUUUGGUUCCAAUGUGAAUAUUGUAGGUGAAAAUGCAUGGCUCUUGGAGGUAUGUCAUGGUGAUGGCGGCCGCAUGCAGUUCACAUCAAAGUCAUUGGGGAUUAAAGGCCAAUGGUUAAGGCUGGCCUUUGGUGUGGAGUUUGUAGUGGUAAUAGGGAAAAUUAAAUGAGUCAUGGAAUAUGUAUUUUUUGUAUUGGAUUAUGAUAUGAAUGUUAUGAAUGAUUUAUACUUGAAUGUGUAGAUAGAAGUAUUGUGAUUAAUGGAGAUCGGAUGUAUGAUAUUUGAAUGAUGAAUGUUUUAGUUUUGUAUUAAAAUUUCAGAUUGUAAGUGGUUAGUAUAGGAUUAGAAUUUGGUUGUAAAAUUACAAGGAAAUGAAUGUUAUGAAUGAAUGAUUUAUUAAA